ACAGCAGUCGCCGCGGGAAUACAGAGGGUGCGAGCGUUAAUCGGAUUUACUGGGCGUAAAGCGUGCGUAGGCGGCUUCUUAAGUCGGAUGUGAAAUCCCUGAGCUUAACUUAGGAAUUGCAUUCGAUACUGGGAAGCUAGAGUAUGGGAGAGGAUGGUAGAAUUCCAGGUGUAGCGGUGAAAUGCGUAGAGAUCUGGAGGAAUACCGAUGGCGAAGGCAGCCAUCUGGCCUAAUACUGACGCUGAGGUACGAAAGCAUGGGGAGCAAACAGGAUUAGAGACCCCGGUAGUCCCUGUCUCUUAUAC
This 305-nucleotide ribosomal RNA is filed under the name uncultured bacterium. Its description in RNAcentral is "partial 16S ribosomal RNA". It matches the Rfam family "Bacterial small subunit ribosomal RNA", at positions 508 to 807 of the family's 1533-position model. The record is from RNAcentral.